AGUUGUUGGUUGAAAUUUGGGCUGCUUUUGUGAUGGAACCUUUGGGAAAAGUCGGACACUAUCUUUAUAAGCAAAUUGUGUCGCCAGUCCUAUGUGGUAUAAGUGCUCUUGUUGGUAGUUUAAACUUGGUAUUCAAUUCAGAAGAAUACCAUGAUGAGUAGUAACAUAUACGAUACUAAGAGGUGGUGUUUGUAGUAUAAAGCACAACAACAAAAACAAUAAAAUUGGUUUUAAGGAAUAUUGAAGAGAUAGGAACUAUUAAAACGCUCUUUGUGCCUUUGGAUUCAGGAUGAUGUAUGCAUAUUUACGACACAUAUACGAUAUUAAAAAAAUUAUUGAUUAAAAAAAAUUAUAAAAAUUCUAUGUAAAAGAAGGUAAAUUAAAAAAUA
This is a long non-coding RNA of Teleopsis dalmanni, 389 nucleotides long. RefSeq lists it as uncharacterized. The record is from RefSeq and is a predicted model, not a curated record. Lineage: Eukaryota; Metazoa; Arthropoda; Insecta; Diptera; Diopsidae. The transcript has 3 exons.